UCGAGAAUCUUCCGCAAUGGACGCAAGUCUGACGGAGCGACGCCGCGUGCGGGAUGAAGGCCUUCGGGUUGUAAACCGCUGUCAGUUGGGAGGAAAUGCAUAAGGGUUCUCUCUUAUGUUUGACCGAUCUUCAGAGGAAGUACGGGCUAAGUUCGUGCCAGCAGCCGCGGUAACACGAACCGUACGAACGUUAUUCGGAAUCACUGGGCUUAAAGGGUUCGUAGGCGGCUAUGUAGGUGGGGUGUGAAAUCCCUCGGCUCAACCGAGGAACUGCGCUCCAAACCACAUGGCUCGAGGGAGACAGAGGUAAGCGGAACUGAUGGUGGAGCGGUGAAAUGCGUUGAUAUCAUCAGGAACACCAGUGGCGAAGGCGGCUUACUGGGUCUCUUCUGACGCUGAGGAACGAAAGCUAGGGGAGCGAACGGGAUUAGAUACCCCCGUAGUCC
This 446-nucleotide ribosomal RNA is filed under the name uncultured prokaryote. Its description in RNAcentral is "bacterial SSU rRNA". It matches the Rfam family "Bacterial small subunit ribosomal RNA", at positions 355 to 796 of the family's 1533-position model. The record is from RNAcentral.